UACUUAGAAAUUUUAAACUUAGGUAUUCUUAACAUAUUGAAAUUACAAGAAACUAUUAAAGAACAAGCAGAAAUUCUAUACUUGCAUAUUCCUAACAGUGAGAAUCAUAAAAGACUACCAAAGAAACAAUACAAUGAGAGGAUGGAUGUUUGAUAUGAGUUAAUCACAUGCUAGCACGUAUGAUAUGAAAAUUGGAAGACAAAUUAACUACUAAGUUAAACUUGAAGGUCUUAUUAAGGUGUUGGGCCUUAAUUUAACUUCUUUCAAACAUAUUGUAAGCGGUCAUCAUUAACUUCAUUUCUUAUUUAGAUAUAUAUUGAAACUUGCACGUAUGGGGAACAUUUUGGCUUGAAGCCAAUCUACCCAGCUUCUGCAUCAUCCCCACGCAGCUCUGCAAUCAUUGUGGAGCUGCCAGAAGUGAGUUGAGAUGUUGGACUAUUAUAUUGCUGCACCACCAGGACAGAUGCUGAAGUUGAAAAAUCAUGAGAAGUCAGGAGGUUGCCCACAGGACCCAGUUCAGGCCAUUCAACCUUUUCAGUCAAAGUUGCAGCUACAGAACCCUCAGGCAUUCGACCUACAACGAACAGAUUGCACCGACUGAACGCCUUAACUACUUCAACAAUUUCUUUAGCACUAUUCACUUCUCUCUCUUCAAAUUUGACAGAGUCGUCAUCUGAAUUCUUCUUGAAGAUAGCUAGAAAUGUUUUAUCGGCUGAAUCAGAUGAAUUACUGAAUUCCGCCGUUAUAUCAAUUUUGACCAUCUGCCGCAAGAUAUCAUUGCUUGCUGUGAAGUGAAUGACAAUUAAACUGACUCCAGGGUGCUCAGCCAUUCUUGCUCCAUAAGAAAGGGCUUCACGAUCAUCAUGUCCACCAAAAAAUAAGACUGUUACAGUGGAGGAAACAUUGCUUGCAGAUACAUGUGUGCUUCCACCCAACCCACGAUCCACCAAAAUUCCAACUGAGCAUGGAGCGUGCUCAAGAACCCUCAUAUUGACCCAACGAAAUUCAUUUCUAGUUGUCUCUAAUGUCCCAUCCAACCUCUGAUGCUUGUGGAAUGGGAGGAUUAUAAUUGCAGCCCUUUUCCUUUCAGCACUUGUGCAGAUAUCCUCGUACAUGUCAUGCAUUGCUGAGAUUGCUGUCAUUGGUCGAAUAAACACGCGGUUCAGCUGCCUAAAAGCCUCAAAAGCAACAACUACUUGGUUGUCAUCAGACUGCUGCAACUUAUUCCAAAAGGGAAGUCCAUUCUUUCUUGCCUUAUGGACCAUAAGGAUUGCAGAUGUCCUCUCAGAAAGCUCCAUAAGGUGCAGUGCAUAGACACAGAGUCCUUGCCUCUUCUCAGUUCCACGUGAAGCCUCAAUGAGAUUGAUAAUUGUAGGAAUGUUCAAUGUACUAUGGAAACAUACCAAAAUUCGAAGCUGAGUAUCUGGGUCUUCUCUUUCAAUUGUUCUGUGCUUAUAAUCAGCACUAAUCGCUUGUUUAGCCGGCUUAUAUACCGCUACAACUAUAGGUGUUGUGAUAAAGGUUGUGAAGAUAGCCAUCAGAACACAGAUAGCAAAUGUUUGAUCAUUCAGGACCUUUCGAUCUUUACCUAUGUUGAGGACAACAAGCUCCACCAAGCCUUUAGUAUUCAUCAAGAACCCCAGAGUUAUAGCUUCCUGAACAGGGAUUCGCAACAAGAGAGAGACAACUAGAGUCCCAACUAUCUUCCCAAAACAGGCUGUAAAUAUGACUAAAACCAGUAAACCCCAUGAUUGAGUCCCUCGAAUGGUGGCUACAUUGGUCUUCAAUCCACUAGAGACAAAGUACAAUGGAAGGAAGAGACCAGAUACAAGAUCUUCAACUUUUUCAACAAGAGCGCCAGAAAAUGGUCCCUCUUUUGGGAUAAGAAUUCCAAUCACAAAUGCACCAAAAAGUGCAUGAAUUCCAAUAGAAUCAGUGCAAAACCCCGCUGCCAAAACAGUAGCUAAUGUAGCACAGACAUACAUUUCAUUUACUGGCUCACCCUGAGGACAACGAUGUGCUAUCCAUUUGAAGACAGGUGGGAUAAUGGCUAUGCUAAAGAUGAUAAAUCCAGCCCCAGACAAAAGCACCCAUAAAGAUGUGAGGGGUGAAUGUUCAGAUCCAGAGAGGACAAUGGCAAGAGCAAGCAAAAUCCAUGCUGCAACAUCAUUUACUGCUGCUGCUGACAUUGCAAUUUGACCAACAUCAGUAGUUAAAAGCUUGAGUUCUGCCAAAAUACGAGCCAAGACAGGGAAAGCAGUGAUUGAAAGGGCCACCCCCAUGAAUACAAGGAAUGGAGCUGCUUUAACACCUUCAGAGAUAGUUUUAUGGAGAAAAAAUGAUACUCCAGCUCCUAAUACAAAGGGUAAGCUAAUUCCUGCAACAGCAAUGGCUAAAGCUUUUUUUCCUGUCCGUUGAAGGGACUUCAGGUCUAGCUCAAGGCCAACAAGGAACAGAAAGAAAAGGAGACCAAGAUUGGCUAAAGUGUCUAACACUACGAGGCUUCUGGAUGGGAAAAUGCUAUUGACAUAGUUCUUGUUCCGACCCAGAGCUGAUGGUCCCAGCAGUAUGCCUCCAACAAUCUCAGCGAUGACACGCGGCUGUCGCAAUGGCCUUAGAAGAAAAGCAAGAAUACGAGUGAGCACGACCACUAAAACAAUCUGUAUGAUGGCAAGUGGCAGUGCAUAAUCAAGAGGAUUAUCCCCCUGGAAGAUCCCGUUGGAUGUAGCUUUCAUGGGUGUGGGACACGAUGCUUCUGUUGCAUUGGAAGCCAUUUUUUCCUUUUCUUCAAAUCACAAAGAAACACAGAAAUUCACACUCUCUUUGCCAAUACGUGGUUCACGUGUGCGGGUGACGGAUUGGCCGGGUGGAGUUUGCGGUGACAAGCAGAGAAUCUGGUGGUCACCGUGAUAGUCACCACACGUAGAAAUGGUGGUUGAGUUGGGCGAAUUGAAGCCCGCAAGUUCCGUCCCCAAAAUCUGCGAUUCUCUUUCUUCGUCGUUCAAAUCCUGCGUUUUCUACGUGAAAACUCUAUCACUAGUUCCAACAACUUCUUCUUAACUGUCUUCUGACUUCAGUCUGUGAGUAUGGGAGUGUGGGACCAGUCAUCCCCGCUAAGCGAUUUGCUCUGCGUGUGUGGGACUAGUCAUCCCCGCUAAGCGAUUUGCUCUGCGU
RNAcentral lists this unclassified non-coding RNA (3174 nucleotides) under Hevea brasiliensis (rubber tree). The record is from RNAcentral. Lineage: Eukaryota; Viridiplantae; Streptophyta; Magnoliopsida; Malpighiales; Euphorbiaceae.